GAGAAACCUCUCGAAGCAAAAGGACAUAUAUUCUGUCAACAUAAAUAGGCAUCAUGGAGCGAGGUGAGAAUAAGGACCUGGAUGAUAAGCAGCAGACAAGGACAACUCAACCAAAGAAACGUGAAGACAAAAAGGGCAGCAACCAAGAGGAAAAGGCCGACCGCUGUCUGGAUUGCUGUUUGGGCACCGUUGAGUGUCUGGAAGAAAGUCCAGAAUGUAGCUCGGCUUCAUGCUGCGAUGCGGAUAUCUGCUGUGAUAUAUGUGUAAUCAUGUGAAUGAGCGUGUGGACAUGAUAAACUCUACGGGAUCAAGACCUUCAGAACUUUCAUUUAAAUUUAAUUCAAUUUAAAUUAAAAAGGAUCUUUCAUUCUUCUCUUUAGAAAACUGUCUGAUCUGUAAAACACAUUAGUUUAAAUAUGUUUUACUCUUAACUUCAGCAGGGAUUUAAAUAAGAAAUACUUGCAGAAUUCUUAAUAAAAUUGCUUCUUAAUUUGAUUUUGAGCUAAAUUUGCAUCCUUUUAUCAAACCAUGUGGACAUGCUAGAUAUUUGUUAUGUUGUAACUCCCCUGUAUUAUUGUCUCUAAACUUUGUUUAUGUAUGUAAUGUGUGUCCGUCUAUCUAUAAAUCCUAAUGACAAGGGUUUAAUAAUUAACAUUUAUUUAACAAACAAUAAAUGUUCAUAUGUUUGAAGAAAA
This is a long non-coding RNA of Cyprinodon tularosa, 695 nucleotides long. RefSeq lists it as uncharacterized. The record is from RefSeq and is a predicted model, not a curated record. NCBI's taxonomy places the organism in Eukaryota, Metazoa, Chordata, Actinopteri, Cyprinodontiformes, Cyprinodontidae. The transcript is spliced from 3 exons.